RNAcentral lists this ribosomal RNA (253 nucleotides) under uncultured bacterium. RNAcentral's name for it is "partial 16S ribosomal RNA". It matches the Rfam family "Bacterial small subunit ribosomal RNA", at positions 524 to 776 of the family's 1533-position model. The record is from RNAcentral.
UACGAAGGGGGCGAGCGUUGUUCGGAUUUACUGGGCGUAAAGGGCGCGCAGGCGGCUCAUUUUGUCAGGCGUGAAAGCCCCGGGCUUAACCUGGGAACUGCGUUUGAUACGGAUGGGCUAGAGUUCGGGAGAGGAGAGUGGAAUUCCCAGUGUAGAGGUGAAAUUCGUAGAUAUUGGGAAGAACACCGGUGGCGAAGGCGGCUCUCUGGACACAUAUUGACGCUGAGGUGCGAAAGCGUGGGGAGCAAACAGG